RNAcentral lists this ribosomal RNA (444 nucleotides) under uncultured bacterium. Its description in RNAcentral is "partial 16S ribosomal RNA". It matches the Rfam family "Bacterial small subunit ribosomal RNA", at positions 354 to 796 of the family's 1533-position model. The record is from RNAcentral.
GUGAGGAAUAUUGCGCAAUGGAGGCAACUCUGACGCAGCCAUGCCGCGUGCAGGAAGAAGGCGCUACGCGUUGUAAACUGCUUUUAACCGGGAAGAAACCCCAGGACGUGUCCUGGGUUGACGGUACCGGAGGAAUAAGCACCGGCUAACUUCGUGCCAGCAGCCGCGGUAAUACGAAGGGUGCAAGCGUUAUCCGGAUUCAUUGGGUUUAAAGGGUGCGUAGGCGGAGCGUUAAGUCAGUGGUGAAAUCCUGCAGCUUAACUGUAGACUUGCCAUUGAUACUGGCGCUCUUGAGUGCGCUUGAAGUGGGCGGAAUGUGCCGUGUAGCGGUGAAAUGCUUAGAUAUGGCACAGAACACCAAUUGCGAAGGCAGCUCACUAAGGCGAUACUGACGCUGAGGCACGAAAGCGUGGGGAUCGAACAGGAUUAGAUACCUAGUAGUCC